This 252-nucleotide unclassified non-coding RNA is filed under the name uncultured Paenibacillaceae bacterium. RNAcentral describes it as "contains 16S-23S intergenic spacer region". It matches the Rfam family "Bacterial small subunit ribosomal RNA", at positions 524 to 776 of the family's 1533-position model. The record is from RNAcentral. Lineage: Bacteria; Bacillati; Bacillota; Bacilli; Caryophanales; Paenibacillaceae.
UACGUAGGGGGCAAGCGUUGUCCGGAAUUAUUGGGCGUAAAGCGCGCGCAGGCGGUCACUUAAGUCUUGUGUAUAAUCCCGGAGCUCAACUUCGGUUCGCAUGGGAAACUGGGUGACUUGAGUGCAGAAGAGGAGAGUGGAAUUCCACGUGUAGCGGUGAAAUGCGUAGAGAUGUGGAGGAACACCAGUGGCGAAGGCGGCUCUCUGGCCUGUAACUGACGCUGAGGCGCGAAAGCGUGGGGAGCAAACAGG